Molecule: ribosomal RNA, 323 nt
Filed under: uncultured eukaryote
Lineage: Eukaryota
Description: partial 18S ribosomal RNA
Rfam family: Eukaryotic small subunit ribosomal RNA
Source: RNAcentral
CCCUUAGAUGUUCUGGGCCGCACGCGCGCUACACUGACGAAUGCAACGAGCUUAUAACCUUGGCCGAAAGGUCUGGGUAAUCUCCAAAUUUCGUCGUGAUGGGGAUAGAUUAUUGCAAUUAUUAAUCUUCAACGAGGAAUGCCUAGUAAGCGCAAGUCAUCAGCUUGCGUUGAUUACGUCCCUGCCCUUUGUACACACCGCCCGUCGCACCUACCGAUUGAAUGGUCCGGUGAAAUCUCCGGACUGGCGUGAGUCGGAGCAAUCUGACAAACACCGGAAAGUUGAUUAAACCUUACCAUUUAGAGGAAGGUGAANUCGUAACA